RNAcentral lists this ribosomal RNA (449 nucleotides) under uncultured Actinomycetales bacterium. RNAcentral describes it as "bacterial SSU rRNA". It matches the Rfam family "Bacterial small subunit ribosomal RNA", at positions 336 to 796 of the family's 1533-position model. The record is from RNAcentral. Lineage: Bacteria; Bacillati; Actinomycetota; Actinomycetes; Actinomycetales.
UUCCUACGGGGGGCUGCAGUGGGGAAUAUUGCGCAAUGGGCGAAAGCCUGACGCAGCGACGCCGCGUGAGGGACGAAGGUCUUCGGAUUGUAAACCUCUUUCAGCAGGGACGAAGCGAAAGUGACUGUACCUGCAGAAGAAGCACCGGCUAACUACGUGCCAGCAGCCGCGGUAAUACGUAGGGUGCAAGCGUUGUCCGGAUUUAUUGGGCGUAAAGAGCUCGUAGGCGGUUUGUCGCGUCGGAUGUGAAAACCCAAUGGCUUAACCUUGGGCCUGCAUUCGAUACGGGCAAACUAGAGUGUGGUAGGGGAGACUGGAACUCCUGGUGUAGCGGUGGAAUGCGCAGAUAUCAGGAAGAACACCGAUGGCGAAGGCAGGUCUCUGGGCCAUAACUGACGCUGAGGAGCGAAAGCGUGGGGAGCAAACAGGAUUAGAUACCCCUGUAGUCA